RNAcentral lists this ribosomal RNA (405 nucleotides) under uncultured bacterium. RNAcentral describes it as "bacterial SSU rRNA". It matches the Rfam family "Bacterial small subunit ribosomal RNA", at positions 356 to 773 of the family's 1533-position model. The record is from RNAcentral.
GGGGAAUAUUGCACAAUGGGCGAAAGCCUGAUGCAGCAACGCCGCGUGAGGGACGACGGCCUUCGGGUUGUAAACCUCUUUUAGUAGGGAAGAAGCGAAAGUGACGGUACCUGCAGAAAAAGCACUGGCUAACUACGUGCCAGCAGCCGCGGUAAUACGUAGGGUGCAAGCGUUAUCCGGAAUUAUUGGGCGUAAAGAGCUCGUAGGCGGUUUGUCGCGUCUGCUGUGAAAACCCGAGGCUCAACCUCGGGCCUGCAGUGGGUACGGGCAGACUAGAGUGCGGUAGGGGAGAUUGGAAUUCCUGGUGUAGCGGUGGAAUGCGCAGAUAUCAGGAGGAACACCGAUGGCGAAGGCAGAUCUCUGGGCCGUAACUGACGCUGAGGAGCGAAAGCAUGGGGAGCGAAC